RNAcentral lists this ribosomal RNA (116 nucleotides) under uncultured bacterium. Its description in RNAcentral is "partial 16S ribosomal RNA". It matches the Rfam family "Bacterial small subunit ribosomal RNA", at positions 336 to 451 of the family's 1533-position model. The record is from RNAcentral.
CUCCUACGGGAGGCAGCAGUGGGGAAUAUUGCACAAUGGGCGAAAGCCUGAUGCAGCGACGCCGCGUGAGUGAAGAAGUAUUUCGGUAUGUAAAGCUCUAUCAGCAGGGAAGAAAA